ACUUCCAUUAAGCCGUUAGCCAGUAAACGAUUAACGCAAGCUCUGUAAAGAGCAUUCCCCUCGACUCGUAACACUUAUGGUUACGAGUCCUUUUUU
This 96-nucleotide small RNA is filed under the name Vibrio rumoiensis 1S-45. The record is from RNAcentral. Lineage: Bacteria; Pseudomonadati; Pseudomonadota; Gammaproteobacteria; Vibrionales; Vibrionaceae.